RNAcentral lists this ribozyme (74 nucleotides) under unclassified sequences. RNAcentral describes it as "HDV ribozyme from F. prausnitzii". It matches the Rfam family "HDV ribozyme from F. prausnitzii". The record is from RNAcentral.
GCUGCUCGAAAAAGGCACACCGCUACGAGGUGAGCAUCAGGCAACACAGCGGGAACUGUGGCUAAGAGGCAAAU